AUUGAACGCUGGCGGCAGGCCUAACACAUGCAAGUCGCACGAGUGGCGGACGGGUGAUUAAUGUCUGGGAACCUGCCCGAUGGAGGGGGAUAACUACUGGAAACGGUAGAUAAUACAGCAUACCAUCGGAUGUGCCCAGCUGGGAUUAGCUAGUAGGUGGGGUAACGGUUCACCUAGGAGACGAUCCCUAGCUGGUCUGAGAGGAUGACCAGCAACACUGGACCUGAGACACGGUCCAGUCUCCUACGGUAGGCAGCAGUGGGGAAUAUUGCACAAUGGGAGCAAGCCUGAUGCAGCCAUGCCGCGUGUAUGAAGAAGGCCUUCGGGUUGUAAAGUACUUUCAGCGAGGAGGCGUUACUCGCAGAAGAAGCACCGGCUAACUCCGUGCCAGCCGCCGCGGUAAUUC
RNAcentral lists this ribosomal RNA (406 nucleotides) under uncultured bacterium. RNAcentral describes it as "partial 16S ribosomal RNA". It matches the Rfam family "Bacterial small subunit ribosomal RNA", at positions 30 to 526 of the family's 1533-position model. The record is from RNAcentral.